Molecule: RNA transcript, 1177 nt
Organism: Dioscorea cayenensis subsp. rotundata (Guinea yam)
Lineage: Eukaryota; Viridiplantae; Streptophyta; Magnoliopsida; Dioscoreales; Dioscoreaceae
Gene name: transcription initiation factor TFIID subunit 11-like
Exons: 6
Source: RefSeq, a predicted model, not a curated record
ACUUCCUAAAGACUUCAGACACUGCGCUGCACAGUGACUAGCAAAGGUCGACGAUGAAGGACCCCUUCGAAGCGGCGGUGGAGGAGCAGGACUCGCCGCCGGAGUCCCCGAUCCCACCGGACGAUGAGAUCGCUGUCCCCGCCGAAGGAGAAGAAGACGAGACCGAUGCUCGGUCGUUGCCCGAAGCCCCUUCGUCUGCACCUCCUCCGGCUACUGCCGGUCCAGGUGGAGGAAGCCGUGGGAAGGAGGAAGAAGAAGAGGAGGAGGAGGAGAACAUGGGCGUAGAGCUCGGCAAGCUCCCCUCUUCCGGCGAUCCUGACAAGAUGGCCAUGAUGCAGUCAAUCCUUGCGCAGUUCACUGAGGAUCAGAUGAGUAGGUAUGAAUCCUUCAGAAGGUCAGGGUUUCAGAAAUCCAACAUGAAAAGGCUAUUAGCAAGCAUCGUAGGAAGUCAAAAAAUUUCUGUACCCAUGACUAUUGUUGUCUCGGGAAUAGCAAAAAUGUUUGUGGGGGAACUGAUUGAGACCGCCAGGAUAGUUAUGACAGAGAGAGGAGAUAUGGGACCCAUCAGGCCAUGUCAUAUCCGAGAAGCAUACAGAAGACUGAGGCUUGAAGGGAAAAUACCCAAACGAUCAGUGCCAAGACUUUUCCGAUGAGUUUAAAGCUGGCUAUCAGUGCUCAAGGAUUUGGUGUUAAGAAGGAUACUUGUAAUGUCUUCAGAGCAAGGUCAUAUAACUUAUGUAACAAUGUAUUACCAAGAGGCAGGGUGUGACACUCCAGAACACUUGAUUGGGUUCAAGUGCAGCCGGUAAAUAUGCUGUUUAAGCUCUCAAGACAGGUUGUCCAAUCCUAUUGGCCUCCAACAAUGGCCGUAUGGAGCACAGUGAUUUUUGGACAAGAAGUUUGAUCCAGAUUCGCUAGAAAAUUUGCACAAGUUAAUCUCAUGAAGAUGACCUUCCUUAAACAACACCAACUCAAUAUGCACAUUGAACACUGACGUAAUGCGGCUAAAGUAAUCACUUGGCAAUUGGCAUCGCUACUAUUAAUGAGAGACUUUGUUGUGGGGUGGGGUAUAUGCAUACAAUAAAAGACCUUUGUGGAUUGGUUUUUAAUUUUAUUAUAUUUUAGAUUUUGGCCUUUUGUGUAUAUAUAUGCCUACAAAAGUGGGCAAUUAAUUAUG